Long non-coding RNA from Oryza sativa Japonica Group (Japanese rice), 1185 nucleotides. RefSeq lists it as uncharacterized. NCBI's taxonomy places the organism in Eukaryota, Viridiplantae, Streptophyta, Magnoliopsida, Poales, Poaceae. The record is from RefSeq and is a predicted model, not a curated record.
CUCUUCUCCUCCUCUCCUCUCCCUCCUGUCUCCGUUUCUCCGCCGCCCCCCAUCCCCCAAGCGGCCAAGCCACGGUCGCACCGCACGGCACAUGCCACACGCCGGCACACCACCGCGUAGGCGCGCACAGCCGCAGCACCAGCCGCCAGCCGGUCUCGGUCGCGCCGAUGGAGUAGGGGCGCCGCCGUGCGGGCAGCCGCCAGCGUGGAGGCGGACAUCCACCGCGUCGGUCGCCGCCUGGGGCAGGGUCCAGGGAGCCAGGGACGCCGCCUCCUGGGGGCGGGAUAGCCACCGCGUCGGUCGCCGCUUAGGGGCAGGGACGCCGCGCGCCGGUCAGCUGUCGGCAGGAGCGCCGCCGCAGGUGCAGUGAGGAGAGGGGGUCUCGGUGACUAAAACUCGACACCCAUGGAGGCACGUUAUCUUCUGCCGGCAGUGCUUAUCGGUAACAGCAAGGACGGCGAAGUAAGUCAACGGGACAACAGAUUAAGGCCCCCGUUAAUUCAAAGGAAAUUCAUAGGAUUUCAAGAACUAAGGGUGCCAACUGAAACUUCAAAUACUAAAUCACUGUCAAUACUUAGACCUUUUCGAAAUACCUAAACUAAUUAAUUAUGAACCUUCGAACCUGCAAACAUGGUCAUCCAGUACUGGAGUACCCAGUGUCAUUUUGAGUGUGCCACCUUGGAUUUGCUGCUCGCAGUUAUCAACAAAAGUAUUUAUCUUAAGCUCAUUAUGAAAUUAUGUCUUUGUUAUUGGCCUACUGCUUGCAUGAUUUCCUUCAUGACUUCCUUACCACUAGUUGUAAUUGAGAUAUUUAUCACACCUUAUUUGACUGAAGUGUUGAUUGUACCUCUCUCUCUCUCCCUACUUGACACACUGUGUAUAUAUACCAGUACAUCCUUUACUCAUAUUUGCAGUGAAUAUGUGAUUUGAGAUUUUGGAGGAAACCAAAACAAGAAGAUGGUGUGAAGUACCAUAGUUUAUUAUGUUUCAUUUUACCUUAAUUCAUUUAAAAAAUAACAUUUUUAUUUUGGUACCACGUCUCGUGUUGGAGGUUGUACUAAGUAUGCCUGGUGUGGUUGUACUAAGUGGUUGCAUUGGUUGUAUUCUUAUCAAAAGUAUAUUGUAUGAGAAUUUUAUUGUGCUCCCCCUUAAUACUAUAUUGUGUUAUCCAUUUAUUCAAUACUA